UGCGUAGGGGGCAAGCGUUGUCCGGAUUUAUUGGGCGUAAAGAGCGUGUAGGCGGCCAGGUAGGUCUGCUGUGAAAACUCGAGGCUUAACCUCGAGCUGUCGGCGGAAACCAUCUGGCUAGAGUCCGGAAGAGGAGAAUGGAAUUCCCGGUGUAGCGGUGAAAUGCGCAGAUAUCGGGAAGAACACCCGUGGCGAAGGCGGUUCUCUGGGACGGUACUGACGCUGAGACGCGAAAGCGUGGGGAGCGAACAGG
Molecule: ribosomal RNA, 253 nt
Filed under: uncultured bacterium
Lineage: Bacteria
Description: partial 16S ribosomal RNA
Rfam family: Bacterial small subunit ribosomal RNA
Source: RNAcentral